AAGCCUGGACUAGUUUUACAAGGGAGUGGCGGGAUUGGAAUUAGGAAUGAUACAGCCAAGAGCAGGAUGCUGCUGGAUACUGGACGUCAUUUUUCAAUUGUUGCUGCUGACUAUUUAUCGGGCUCUGCCUCCGUUAUCACUGAGCCACCUUGGCUCAACUAUUUUAGAGAGUGGGGUCCCAAAAUUAGUUAUGACAUUUCCCACGAGAUAAAAGAGAUUGAGAAAUUAUUGCCUGGAAAGCUGAAGCCUGCUUUUCAAAAGUUUGUCAACAGUCUACCAAAUGAAGUCUUGGGAGAGGAAGGCCCGACAGGUCCCAAAGCCAAAAGCAAUUGGAAUGGAGAUGAAGUUUAAUCGAAGCUGUCUGUGUGUGUGUAUACAUACAUACAUACAUACAUACAUAUAUAUAUAUAUAUAUUUAUAUCAAAAUUUGUUUAUAAAGGAACUUUUUUUAAAGUGGGAUCAAUUGCCCACACUCCCUUGAAUGUAAAUCCGCCCUUAUAUAUAUUCAGUUAGAUUUCAGUUUGUACACAUAUUGUUCAAUAAUGAUUGAUAUAUGUAUAUAUGUGUUUAUGCAAGCAUGUCGCAGGUGAAGGGUUUGGGAGUGGAACAAUUGAUCUUGGUGGAUUACAAGUGCGUCAAAUAACAUCUUUCAAGAAAAUUUGGGCCACCCAUGAAGGUGGACCAGAUAAUGCUGGCACUACAUUUUUUGAACCAUCAACCAUAGAUAUCCCUCCAGGUUUCUUUAUGCUUGGCUGCUACGCCCAACCCAACAACACCCCUCUUUUCGGAUGGGUUCUUGCUGCUAAAGACAGCAGUGGUUUAAGCUUAAAGAAGCCUGUUGAUUACACUCUUGUUUGGAGCAGCGAGUCUUUGAAGAUCAAGCAAGAUGGGGUCGCCUACGUCUGGCUACCCACACCCCCCGAUGGGUACAAAAACGUUGGUCAUGCCAUUACAAACUUCCCUGAGAAGCCUGCCUUGGAUAAGAUGCGCUGCGUUCGGUCUGACUUCACUGAUCAAUGCCAGACAGACACGUGGAUAUGGGGUGCAAACAAGUAUGGGCUCAAUGUCUUUUCCGUUAGGCCCAGUGUUAGAGGAACCGAAGAAAUGGGUGUUAGUGUAGGCACGUUUGCGGCCCAGAUUAAUGGAAAUGAUAAUAGUCCUACUACGUCGACGACUCUCGCUUGUCUGAAGAAUAUUAUGGCCAAGUCCAACUUAUCAUCCUACAAUUACAUGCCUAAUCUGCAACAAAUUGAGACGAUGGUUCAAGCUUACUCUCCUUAUAUUUACUUGCAUCCUGACGAAAAAUACCUUCCGUCUUCUGUAAGCUGGUAUUUUGACAACGGGGCAUUACUAUACAGAAAGGGAGAGGAGUCUAAACCAAUCCCAAUUGAGCCGAUGGGUUCGAAUCUUCCACAAGGAGGCUCCAAUGAUGGUGCCUAUUGGUUGGACCUUCCUGUAAAUGACAAGGCCAAAGAGCGAGUCAAGAAAGGAGACCUACAAAACUCACAGGUUUAUUUACACAUUAAACCCAUGCUGGGAGCAACCUACACUGACAUAGCAAUAUGGAUCUUCUACCCUUUUAAUGGACCUGCGAGAGCUAAAGUUAAGUUUAUUAAUAAUAUCCCAUUGGGAAAGAUAGGUGAACAUGUUGGUGACUGGGAGCAUGUGACAUUAAGGAUCAGCAACUUCAAUGGGGAACUGUGGAGGGUCUUCUUGUCGCAGCAUAGUGGAGGUACUUGGGUGAAUGCAUCAGAGCUUGAGUUUCAAAGUGGCAACAAACCUGUGACCUAUGCGUCCUUAAAUGGUCAUGCCAUGUAUGCAAAGCCUGGACUAGUUUUACAAGGGAGUGGCGGGAUUGGAAUUAGGAAUGAUACAGCCAAGAGCAGGAUGCUGCUGGAUACUGGACGUCAUUUUUCAAUUGUUGCUGCUGACUAUUUAUCGGGCUCUGCCUCCGUUAUCACUGAGCCACCUUGGCUCAACUAUUUUAGAGAGUGGGGUCCCAAAAUUAGUUAUGACAUUUCCCACGAGAUAAAAGAGAUUGAGAAAUUAUUGCCUGGAAAGCUGAAGCCUGCUUUUCAAAAGUUUGUCAACAGUCUACCAAAUGAAGUCUUGGG
This 2114-nucleotide long non-coding RNA is filed under the name Citrus sinensis (sweet orange). Its description in RNAcentral is "long non-coding RNA (CSIN_LNC002769)". Lineage: Eukaryota; Viridiplantae; Streptophyta; Magnoliopsida; Sapindales; Rutaceae. The record is from RNAcentral.